GACGAACGCUGGCGGCGUGCCUAAUACAUGCAAGUAGAACGCUGAAGAGAGGAGCUUGCUCUUCUUGGAUGAGUUGCGAACGGGUGAGUAACGCGUAGGUAACCUGCCUGGUAGCGGGGGAUAACUAUUGGAAACGAUAGCUAAUACCGCAUGACAUUGAUUGAUCGCAUGAUAAUUGAUUGAAAGAUGCAAUUGCAUCACUACCAGAUGGACCUGCGUUGUAUUAGCUAGUUGGUGAGGUAACGGCUCACCAAGGCGACGAUACAUAGCCGACCUGAGAGGGUGAUCGGCCACACUGGGACUGAGACACGGCCCAGACUCCUACGGGAGGCAGCAGUAGGGAAUCUUCGGCAAUGGGGGGAACCCUGACCGAGCAACGCCGCGUGAGUGAAGAAG
RNAcentral lists this ribosomal RNA (396 nucleotides) under Streptococcus sanguinis. RNAcentral describes it as "bacterial SSU rRNA". It matches the Rfam family "Bacterial small subunit ribosomal RNA", at positions 28 to 413 of the family's 1533-position model. Lineage: Bacteria; Bacillati; Bacillota; Bacilli; Lactobacillales; Streptococcaceae. The record is from RNAcentral.